RNAcentral lists this ribosomal RNA (253 nucleotides) under uncultured bacterium. RNAcentral describes it as "partial 16S ribosomal RNA". It matches the Rfam family "Bacterial small subunit ribosomal RNA", at positions 524 to 776 of the family's 1533-position model. The record is from RNAcentral.
UACGGGGGGGGCAAGCGUUGCUCGGAAUUACUGGGCGUAAAGGGCUCGUAGGCGGCCAACUAAGUCAGACGUGAAAUCCCUCGGCUUAACCGGGGAACUGCGUCUGAUACUGGAUGGCUUGAGUGUGGGAGAGGAAUGCGGAAUUCCAGGUGUAGCGGUGAAAUGCGUAGAUAUCUGGAGGAACACCGGUGGCGAAGGCGGCAUUCUGGACCAUUACUGACGCUGAGGAGCGAAAGCCAGGGGAGCAAACGGG